GUGAAGACAGGAUUCAGGGCAGAAUGAACCAAUGUUACAGUACCAUGGAAAAUCUGGUCUCAGUUCUUCCUCCACCCUUCUCUGAGACCAUGGAGGGCAGUUUGUUGGAUGUGGUGACACCGAAUCCAUCUGUGAGGACUGAUCAAUGAUUCCUAUUUCAGAGACAGGAAAGCCAUCAGAGAUGCAAUGAUAUAGAGUGAAGUCCACUCACUCAGCCAUAAAGAAAGUCUACUUUGAUCCCUGAAGCCAGCACAGGGCUUUGCCAUAGGUGGGCAGGCACUGGGAAGGAGCUCUCACCUGUGAUUAAGCUGGAGAUGAUG
RNAcentral lists this long non-coding RNA (320 nucleotides) under Mus caroli (Ryukyu mouse). RNAcentral's name for it is "lncRNA (MGP_CAROLIEiJ_G0003225.1)". Lineage: Eukaryota; Metazoa; Chordata; Mammalia; Rodentia; Muridae. The record is from RNAcentral.